This 252-nucleotide ribosomal RNA is filed under the name Romboutsia timonensis. RNAcentral describes it as "partial 16S ribosomal RNA". It matches the Rfam family "Bacterial small subunit ribosomal RNA", at positions 524 to 776 of the family's 1533-position model. Lineage: Bacteria; Bacillati; Bacillota; Clostridia; Peptostreptococcales; Peptostreptococcaceae. RNAcentral also lists the same sequence under 1 other name. The record is from RNAcentral.
UACGUAGGGGGCUAGCGUUAUCCGGAAUUACUGGGCGUAAAGGGUGCGUAGGUGGUUUCUUAAGUCAGAGGUGAAAGGCUAUGGCUCAACCGUAGUAAGCCUUUGAAACUGGGAAACUUGAGUGCAGGAGAGGAGAGUGGAAUUCCUAGUGUAGCGGUGAAAUGCGUAGAUAUUAGGAGGAACACCAGUUGCGAAGGCGGCUCUCUGGACUGUAACUGACACUGAGGCACGAAAGCGUGGGGAGCAAACAGG